AAAAAGUCAAACCCUGAGUUUUCGUGUCCAACUUUGACUAUCCGUCUUAUAUAAAAUUUUUUUAUAAUUCGUAUUUUCAUUGUUGUUUGAUGAUAAAACAUGAUUAAUAUUUUAUGCGUGACUUGUCUUUUUAAUUUUUUUCAUAAUUUUUUUAAAUAAGACGGACGGUUAAACGUUGGGCACGGAAACCAGGGUUUGUCUUUUU
RNAcentral lists this microRNA precursor (205 nucleotides) under Oryza glumipatula. RNAcentral's name for it is "MIR812 microRNA precursor family". It matches the Rfam family "MIR812 microRNA precursor family". The record is from Rfam by way of RNAcentral. Lineage: Eukaryota; Viridiplantae; Streptophyta; Magnoliopsida; Poales; Poaceae.